Molecule: ribosomal RNA, 127 nt
Filed under: Vibrio sp. 03_296
Lineage: Bacteria; Pseudomonadati; Pseudomonadota; Gammaproteobacteria; Vibrionales; Vibrionaceae
Description: partial 16S ribosomal RNA
Rfam family: Bacterial small subunit ribosomal RNA
Source: RNAcentral
CUGCAAAGAAGUGGGUAGUUUAACCUUCGGGAGGACGCUCACCACUUUGUGGUUCAUGACUGGGGUGAAGUCGUAACAAGGUAGCGCUAGGGGAACCUGGCGCUGGAUCACCUCCUUAUACGAUGAU